This 145-nucleotide non-coding RNA is filed under the name Desertifilum tharense IPPAS B-1220. The record is from RNAcentral. RNAcentral also lists the same sequence under 1 other name. Lineage: Bacteria; Bacillati; Cyanobacteriota; Cyanophyceae; Desertifilales; Desertifilaceae.
GUACGAUAGCAAAAGCUCGGUUCUGGUGGGGAGCAGCCGCCAGACGUAAGGGGGAAAGAGCAGUGCAAGCCUGCCGCUGUCCCGCAACUGUGAUGAGAGAUUCAUCUCUUUAAGUCAGGAUGCCCGCCGAAUUGAAAAACCUGUG